Molecule: long non-coding RNA, 496 nt
Organism: Patella vulgata (common limpet)
Lineage: Eukaryota; Metazoa; Mollusca; Gastropoda; Patellidae
Exons: 3
Source: RefSeq, a predicted model, not a curated record
AGAAGACAAACACCAAUUGUUGUAUAAAAGGAGAAAUUUAAAUUGUGAUACGUCAAUUCUUGUCGAUUCUUUGGUUAGUGUUAAGCUGUACAGAGACUGUAACGUAACAUUUUGAGUUCGCUGCGUUGACAGGGUGCGUAUCUUAGCAAUAAGAAUGGACAUCUCUCGACGUGUCUUGAUCGGUCUACUGGUGUUAUCAGUCAUUACCUGUGCCGUAUCAGCUUAUUACUAUAAUAGUGACCUAUAUGAGGAUUAUUACGAAAAUUAUCGAAAAAUGCAAAUGUACAAUUUCAUGAGGCAACAGUAUCAACGAAAUGGAGCAUACCCUCCUUACUUUCCCCAUUAUGCGUUUUACGACGACUAAAUAAACUCCAGGAUCAGGUCAAUGACAGGAUUUGUAUAUUGGCUUAUCGAAGUUGAUAUUUGAUUAAUGUAUCUGAAGAUAAAUUGUAAUUCUGUACCCCCCAAUACUCAUGAAUUGAUAAAUUAUUUUAUA